CUUCGAGAUUUCUCUAGCCUGCUGCUGCUGCUGCUGCUGCCACGUCGCUCUUCGCGUAUCGUCGAUACUCCCCUCGCCAUCCCACGUAACCCCUCGUACAACUGGAAGCUCCGUUUACCCCUCGACCUCACUCUCACUUUCUCUUUCUCCUCCGAGAGCCACCGAGACUUUUGUACUCGCGUUCGAGAGAUUUUCGAAGCGUCGUGUCCACGCUCCAUUUCUCCUGUCGAGGUGAUAAUCCAGUGACUCAAUCAUCGCUAUGUUUUCGACCCUCACUUUUAGCGGCAAUUGCGAAACAGGGAAUUCGCCGGUUUGCGAAAAACAAUCGAUCGAACAAGACUCCUCUUUCUUUCUCACCAUUUCGACUGACUUUCCACGCUACUCUGUUCAUUCGCUUACGCGUUAAAGCCCCGAGACGAAACCUUCGACCCACGGUACUCGGGCAGCACUUUUCUUUCCGUCAAAAUUCGAAGCAGCUCGCGAUCCGGCCGAAUCGUUCAGCGACUCGAACGAGAUUUCGGUGAAGAUCGGACGGCUACGAAAUUCCUGUUAAUCCGACGAACCCCGCGCUCGUAUCGUUUCUCUUUUUUUCUCACGAGCUCUCGACAACGCUGUUGGAUUUCGCGAAGCAUGAAAAACACGAUUUUUCAUUUCGAGUGCAGGCUCCCUACUACUAAUGAGAAACAGAAAGGGAAAACGAGAGGAGAGAGAGAGAGAGGACGACACCGGAGGAAAGGAUCGAAGUUAAGGGUCGCGAACACCAGAGGGGCAGCUGGGAGAGAAACCCCGAGGGUUCUUUUCAGUAGGCUGUUUGCUCGUGGAAGCGAGAAAGACGGGGGUCGGGUUAGGGAAACCACCGUCGACUGGUAGUGGCGCACGAUCCUGAGAAAAGCACGGCUUUCACGAAGGACCCGUUCCCCGCCCACGUAAAUGGAAUACCGCGCGUGGAACGGCGAGCAUGAGAACGCGGAGGGAAUAAUUUUCAAGGGGAUUCGACAAAAUUGAAUAUUCGGCGACGGUACUUUUGACCCCUCUUCGUAAAUUCCGAUCGAGCGGAUCGGAAAAAACGAUCAACUGUCAUUGGAGGUUAGUUUAGUUAGCGCGGGGAGAACGCGCCGGUCGAUCGGAGCUUCGUCGAAGGAACCCGCGGAGCAAAAGCGCAGGAGAUCGUCCGAGGCUCGUUCGCGAGGGGGUCCGCAGAGAGUCAGCUUGGUCCGGACAGCCUAACGGGAAUUGAAAUGUUUUCCGGUCGAUAGAGGCGCGGCAGCGGACGGACGCGUCUUUUUCUCGUCUUCGUUCCUCCGCUCGAAUGUUAUCUCGCAUUCGUUCAUAUUUCCUCACGUUAUCGUUCUUCUCCCUCGGGAGUUUCCGAGUCUGAUGUUUCCGGGGGUGAAAGCUGUCGGGAAUUCAUACGCUGAUGUGGGAAAAGUUUCGCAGACAGGCUCGAAAGGUUGUAGAGAGUUUAAUGAAAGUUUGAACAUUCGAAGAGUAUCGAUUUCACCCACGCUACUAAAUCACAAUGAUUCCGAGUCAAGUUCCGGAAGAGCAUUGUCCUAAUUGAUUUUUUUAUUCUCGAGAAGCUUGAAUAAUUCAGUUUCGUAGUGGGGGCCGUUCCCGUUACAGAAACGAUGAUUGCCUCUCGUUCUCUCCCUCGUAAUCUCAACUCGUUGGCACAAACUUGUUCCGCCUGGCAAUCUCCUCGCGGCGUGCUCGUUGCGUGAAUAAUGAAUCGAGCUUGUUACGCGGGGCUACUACCGGUCAACCGAAUUAGCUUUAUUGCCACGCGGGGGGGAAUAAUUCGAGGUUCGUCGCGAGCGUCCGCGUUGUCACAGACGUUCCUCGGUGUAGCGAACCCUUUCCGCGUCCUGUCCUUUACCGAGCCUCUGAAAAUCAGCAGCGUGCGCUCGAGCAACGAAAUUGAGGAUGGAAGCUUGGGCAGCGCCCGCUCAAAAAUGGGGGCUCCCCGACAGGAUCACGUGAAAAUCGCGCCUCCGGAUAAUCUGAAAGACUGCUGUAACGGGGGAGCGAAUACUGAUCGAAAAGGAGGUCGGAGGCGAGCUCGAACCGUCGAAGGGCAGAGACGCACGUGCGAGGAGAGCGCGCGGCUGCAAUUACGUCGGUGGCACGCGACGCCGCUCGUUACCGAGGCCGACUACUCGUGGUCCCUAUUUACGAGUUUCCUUUCAGCCUCAAAAUAGAAGCGAUACGGUACGCUGGAUAAAAAGGAGCGCACACUCUCCGUCCGGAACGUCGUUAACGAGAAAUUGAUCGUUAACAUGAGAAAACUCGGGGGCGCGCAACCUUGAAAAGUGCGAAGGAAAAUCGAGUUGAAAGCGCCUCGGCGCACGUAAGCCCUAAUCUUGAGAGAUUUUUCCAAGUCUUAAGAAAAAUAAGCACGGGAAUGAAACUGAGACGAGAAGAAUGAACGCGAGGAGGAGGAGGAGGAGGAGUGCCGGAUGGGAAACAAUUGAUUAGCCUUGGAUCAACGGGCGCGGCGCGUCUGGCUCUGAGGGAGAGAAAAUGUUAUAACGCCUCGUAGAGGGCACGGCCAUCAGGUGGCAGCACUCUCUGGAUGAGGGAGUCUCGAGGCCUACCGACCAACCCCUCCCGCCCUCGGAUUUAUCCCUCCCCGAAACCGAGAAAGAGCAUCGCCGGUGUGAUUCGAGCACUGGAAUUGUACCAACGCUCGUGUGCCUUCCAGUGAUAAUACUAAAAAUACUCGACGGACACGAGAACUAGAAAACCCUCGGAAACACUCCUACGACGAAAACACCUUGUUCAAUCCUCAUGAAAAAUAUAAUAAAAUCGAUCAACAACAAACUCAUUUCAGACUCGGUGAUUAUUUCGUGAGGGGAAAAAGUACCUCGAAUUUAAACCUCAAUAUAAUAUUCGUCGCGGAGGAUCACGACUCUAUUAAAAUGUGUUACUCCAACGGGAUAACCGAAGAAGGACGAUGCUAUUUCUUCGAGUUUUGUCGAUACCUUUACGCGGGGCAAAGAGAGAAUCUGAGAGAAACAGUUCUGCCCGCAGUCUCAAGAACUUGAAGCGAAAGCACGAAUGGAAGCCAGCGAUCCAUUUGGACAACCGUUACAGACUGAUGAGAAAUGAAAAGAUGCUGGACGCGAAUGGCAACGUUACGGACCAGAUCGG
Molecule: unclassified non-coding RNA, 3150 nt
Filed under: Venturia canescens
Lineage: Eukaryota; Metazoa; Arthropoda; Insecta; Hymenoptera; Ichneumonidae
Description: uncharacterized LOC122406592, transcript variant X1
Source: RNAcentral